GGGGGUGAAAGGGCUCGACUUAAAUAUGUCGGGUACAAAACGCAUGCCGCGGACGCAUGGUUGGCCGCGUUAACAAUCCGUGCAAAAAUAAACGCAAACACACCAGUGUUGAUGCCAUUGAUGCCAACAUCAAUGACACCUGCGUUUGCCUUCGCUAACUAAUUUAGCGAAGCCUCAACCCAGUCUGCCUAAGGGCUGGUGUUUGAGCCGGUUAUUUAGGCUGGCGCCAGUUCUUUAAGCUUUCAGAACUGGCGUAAGACAAAAGGAAGCUUGCGGCCUUAACCAUCCUGUCAGCCGGAGGGUUAAGGCUUAAGAACAAAUAGACUGACUAAGCAUGUAGGGGUUUGUAUCUGUCUAUUUAAGGACGGCGGUUCAAUUCCGCCCACCUCCACCA
Molecule: transfer-messenger RNA, 394 nt
Filed under: Candidatus Omnitrophota bacterium
Lineage: Bacteria; Pseudomonadati; Candidatus Omnitrophota
Rfam family: transfer-messenger RNA
About the family: Bacterial tmRNA, also known as 10Sa RNA or SsrA, is named for its dual tRNA and mRNA-like properties.
Source: RNAcentral